RNAcentral lists this ribosomal RNA (216 nucleotides) under Pseudomonas sp. ATCC 13867. Its description in RNAcentral is "partial 16S ribosomal RNA". It matches the Rfam family "Bacterial small subunit ribosomal RNA", at positions 1 to 219 of the family's 1533-position model. Lineage: Bacteria; Pseudomonadati; Pseudomonadota; Gammaproteobacteria; Pseudomonadales; Pseudomonadaceae. The record is from RNAcentral.
GAACUGAAGAGUUUGAUCAUGGCUCAGAUUGAACGCUGGCGGCAGGCCUAACACAUGCAAGUCGAGCGGAUGAAGGGAGCUUGCUCCCGGAUUCAGCGGCGGACGGGUGAGUAAUGCCUAGGAAUCUGCCUGGUAGUGGGGGACAACGUUUCGAAAGGAACGCUAAUACCGCAUACGUCCUACGGGAGAAAGCAGGGGACCUUCGGGCCUUGCGCU